RNAcentral lists this unclassified non-coding RNA (253 nucleotides) under uncultured Planctomycetia bacterium. RNAcentral describes it as "contains 16S-23S intergenic spacer region". It matches the Rfam family "Bacterial small subunit ribosomal RNA", at positions 524 to 776 of the family's 1533-position model. Lineage: Bacteria; Pseudomonadati; Planctomycetota; Planctomycetia. The record is from RNAcentral.
GACGAACCGAGCGAACGUUGUUCGGAAUCACUGGGCUUAAAGGGCGCGUAGGCGGGCCGGAAAGUCCGGGGUGAAAUCCUCCCGCUCAACGGGAGAACGGCCCCGGAUACUAUCGGCCUCGAGGCGGGUAGGGGCGUGCGGAACACUGGGUGGAGCGGUGAAAUGCGUUGAUAUCCAGUGGAACUCCGGUGGCGAAGGCGGCACGCUGGACCCGUACUGACGCUGAGGCGCGAAAGCCAGGGGAGCGAACGGG